RNAcentral lists this ribosomal RNA (418 nucleotides) under uncultured Actinomycetes bacterium. RNAcentral's name for it is "bacterial SSU rRNA". It matches the Rfam family "Bacterial small subunit ribosomal RNA", at positions 9 to 426 of the family's 1533-position model. Lineage: Bacteria; Bacillati; Actinomycetota; Actinomycetes. The record is from RNAcentral.
GAGUUUGAUCUUGGCUCAGGACGAACGCUGGCGGCACGCUUAAAACAUGCAAGUCGAACGUGAAGCCCGGGCUUGCCCGGGUGGAAAGUGGCGAACGGGUGCGUAACACGUGAGCAACCUGCCCCGAAGACCGGGAUAACACCGGGAAACCGGUGCUAAUACCGGAUGCCUUCACCAUGUCGCAUGGCGAGGUGAAGAAAUGGAUUCCGCUUCGGGAUGGGCUCGCGGCCUAUCAGCUUGUUGGUGGGGUAACGGCCUACCAAGGCAACGACGGGUAGCUGGUCUGAGAGGAUGUCCAGCCACACUGGGACUGAGACACGGCCCAGACUCCUACGGGAGGCAGCAGUUAGGAAUCUUGCGCAAUGGGCGAAAGCCUGACGCAGCGAUGCCGCGUGCGGGAUGAAGGCCUUCGGGUCGU